This 553-nucleotide ribosomal RNA is filed under the name uncultured bacterium. Its description in RNAcentral is "bacterial LSU rRNA". It matches the Rfam family "Bacterial large subunit ribosomal RNA", at positions 62 to 622 of the family's 2925-position model. The record is from RNAcentral.
UAAGCUGCGAAAAGCCAUGGGGAGCCGCAAGUAGGCAUUGAUCCAUGGAUGUCCGAAGUGGGGGAACCCGGCCGGGGCAAUGCCCGGUCACCAUGAGAUGAAUUCAUAGUCUCAUAGGAGGGCACCCGGGGAAGUGAAACAUCUAAGUACCCGGAGGAGAAGAAAGAAAACUCGAUUCCCUUAGUAGUGGCGAGCGAAGAGGGAAGAGGCCAAACCGGAGGUCUACGGACGUCCGGGGUUGCGGAGCGGCGACAAGCGAAGGUAAGCGAGCGGAAGCGGUUGGAAAGCCGAGCCAGAGAGGGUGACAGACCCGUACGCGAAGCUGAGAACAGCGAGCCGGAUCCAGAGUACCGCGGGACACGAGAAAUCCUGCGGGAAGCAGGGGGGACCACCCCCAAGCCUAAAGACGAUCAGUGACCGAUAGCGCAUAGUACCGUGAGGGAAAGGUGAAAAGAACCCCGGGAGGGGAGUGAAAGAGAACCUGAAACCCUGCGUUUACAAGCAGAUAGAGAGCGAUCAAUGCUCGAUAUCGUACUUUUUGUAGAACGGACCG